Molecule: ribosomal RNA, 619 nt
Filed under: uncultured Verrucomicrobiota bacterium
Lineage: Bacteria; Pseudomonadati; Verrucomicrobiota
Description: bacterial SSU rRNA
Rfam family: Bacterial small subunit ribosomal RNA
Source: RNAcentral
UAGCAAUACAAAUGAUGUCCAGUGGCGUAAGGGUGCGUAACACGUGGGCAAUCUGCCGAGAAGUGGGGGAUAGCUCGCCGAAAGGCGAAUUAAUACCGCAUGUGGUUAGAGGGGACAUCCUCUUGACACCAAAGCCGGGGCAACCUGGCGCUUCUUGAUGAGCCCGCGGCCUAUCAGCUAGUUGGUGAGGUAACGGCUCACCAAGGCUAUGACGGGUAGCUGGUCUGAGAGGACGACCAGCCACACUGGAACUGAGACACGGUCCAGACACCUACGGGUGGCAGCAGUCGAGAAUUUUUCUCAAUGGGGGAAACCCUGAAGGAGCGACGCCGCGUGGAGGAUGAAGGUCUUCGGAUUGUAAACUCCUGUCAUUAGGGAACAAUGUGCGGUUAUUAACUGUAAUCGUAUUGAUAGUACCUGAAGAGGAAGAGACGGCUAACUCUGUGCCAGCAGCCGCGGUAAUACAGAGGUCUCAAGCGUUGUUCGGAUUCAUUGGGCGUAAAGGGUGCGUAGGUGGCGCCAUAAGUCAGGUGUGAAAUCUCGGGGCUCAACCCCGAAACUGCACUUGAUACUGUGGUGCUUGAGUACUGGAGAGGAGAUUGGAAUUCACGGUGUAGCA